AUGAAAGUUAGUUUAGUGGGUAAUCCCUUUCACGUAAACUUACAAAUAAUACCAUUUAUCGAAACUGUAAACAAAAUCCACCAUAUCAGUGUAGUGGUCCCCGCAUAUCUAUUUUCACAAAGUGCUUUCCAACGGAAAGACCUUACAUUUCUGAUUCAUUGCCACUUUGCAUUUCGGUACCACCACCAAUGUUAGGUGCCACUGCCACCUUUUCCCUACCACCUCUUCCUUGCACCGCAAGUCUUCACUGCAACUCUGAUCCUAACGAAUCUCUCACAUUGCAAAGCUCCUGAUUUUUCACUCUCCAUAAUUGCCAAUCAGAUUUGGUAUUUUUUAUUGUCUCUUGUCUUUCUUUUCCUUUACUUGGGUGUGGUGUAAUUGGCUUGUGUUAUGUUAAAAAUUGUGUUUUGAGAUCUGGGUCCAAUGGCAAUCCAUGAUUGUUGUUUGUGUUUCCAAUUAUUGUUGUGAUUUAUGUACAUUCUGAUUAGUCUGUCUAGUUUUUGUGGGUUUUCAUGUUUAUAAUAACUUAAGCACAAGAAAAGUGAGUGUAUGCAUGGACCACCUACCCAUAAAGAAAGAAAAAGUUUGUGUUUUGUUAAGCAAAAAAUGUGUGAUUUGGAAGUGUAUAUAUGUUUUACUACUAUGGGUUUUUUAAGUGGGGUUUUUUAGUGCUUUCAUUUUUCUUGGGGAUUUUGGAAGAUUUGGGUCUUCGGAAUCUUUGCUUUCACAUUUUAUUUGACUGGGUUAAAGUGAAUGUGGUUUGAUUUGUUGUAUAUGAUGAUGAUCAUGAUUUCUACGAUUACGAUUUGGUAAUAGUUUGGAUGUAUUUGUUUUGGCAACUUCAAAAUUUAUGUCCAAAUGUCAGACGACAAGAACGAAGAGGAACUAAAUCAAGUGCGCAGACUUGCUGUGAGUCUUUCAAAUGAGAUUGACUACAAGAACCAAAGGUUGUUGGAGAUGGAGCAUAAGUAUAAUGAGACAACGGCUACUGUCCGCCAACUUGUUGUGGGGCUUACGAAGGAGAUUGAUUCCAAACAGAAAAGUUUGCUGGAAAUGGAGCACAAGUACUCUGAGUCCUCUGCAUAUGUUAAACUACUGGUGAAUGAAAUAGAUAAGUUGCAUGCAG
Molecule: long non-coding RNA, 1126 nt
Organism: Quercus lobata
Lineage: Eukaryota; Viridiplantae; Streptophyta; Magnoliopsida; Fagales; Fagaceae
Exons: 2
Source: RefSeq, a predicted model, not a curated record